AGUCAUGUGGGAUCUUAGCUUCCGGACCAAGGAUGAAACCCGCACCUCCUGCAUUGGAAGCAUGAAUCUUAACCACUGGACCACCAGAAAAGUCCCUGGGUUCUAGCUUUGACUCCGUCACUCAUUGUGUAACGUUUGACGUGGACACAGAUGCACUCAGUCAAGAGACCUGCCCAAGGAUGCCAUCCGGAGCUGAAAUGGAGCCCAGGGGAGCUCACUAAGGAAUCUUGAGAGGCUUUGAUGAAGUGAUCACCACUGACCAGAAGAAGAGAGCAACGUCACUGAGAGCAAAUGACUGCAACCGCUUUUGCCUUCUAAGGGAGCAGCAGAAUUUAUAUCACAGACAGCAUUAUCCACAACAGCCAAAAGGCAAAAGGACCCGAAUGUUCAUCGGUGGAUGGAUCGAUAAACACAAUGGAGUAUUACAUACAAUGAAAUAUUAUUCAACCUGAAAAAGGAAGGAUAUUCUGGGACUUGCUACAACAUGGAUGAAUCUUGAGGACACUAUGAUUGCAGAGCUGCUGAGAAAGAUCUCAUCUGUUCACAGUCUACCCUCAAAAUACACAGCUCCACCUCACAUCAUCAGGGAUUAGAUCCCAGAGAUGGGGGGACCCUUGCUCUAGAGCACUUCGAUGCUGCAGGGCUGAGAACAGGGCAUUGACAAGCCCCAUACCCAUCUGCCUACAGGAAAAGGAAUCAACACAAUAGAGACUUUUAAAAAUACUUUUGACUGUGACCAUGGUAAGAAACUCAUUUUUAUAUCGUAACCCAAGUCACACACACACACACACACACACGUAUGCAUGUACUUAUGUGUGUACAUGAAACUGAAGCAGUUCUUGUCCUUGUUGUAUAUGACACAUACUGAUAGUUUCAUCCUACUUUUUGUCUUAAUUUAGUCAUUAUCAAAUUCAAACUAUUACAUUGAUUUUAUAAGCUACUGUGGGUUAUAUUACACAGCUGCUGGGAAGAGGUCAACAGGGCCUCUAGUGGGCCAGGCCUGCCUUUGCCAGAGUGGGCCAGGCCGGGCCCCAUUGCAUCUGUCCCUGACCUUCCUUCCCUCUCCCCCAGGUCCCCAGUUGGCCAGGCACAAGGGCCCUGAAGGCUGAUACCAAUUUAGAAACAGAACUUCUCUUUCCCCUUCUGUGCCCCACCCCAGGCUGACCCCUGAACUCACCAAGGAAAGUGGCCGCUAUCCUUUGCGGGUGAGUAGCCCUUGCUGCCCGGGCAGGAAAGAGCCAAAGGUCAUGACAGCGGGAAGCCUUGUCAGUUCUGUGGGUAAGCCUGUCGCUUUGUGACUGCAUCAGCCAGUGGUUGCUAGGUUACCCCUGCCCUACAACUCCAGAACCACUCCCCAGCACCCCUCUCCUCACCCCCAGCCAGCUCCUCUUACCCUUCCUGGAGGGGCAGAAGGGCUCACCGAGCACCCCCUGCUUGCCUGCCCUCCAGGCUCCUUCUCUCUCUCCCAUUCAGCACUUUCAAUGGGGCCCAAGGGAGAAAAUGAGAAUCAGGGGCUGGUUGCAGCCAGUGUGCAGCAGGCAGAAAGAGAAAAACUGGCAAAAAGAUUUGGUUGGGCUGGGUGCCAGCUCUGUCGGCAAUGACCGGGCUGUCUGCCACUGUGGAGGAGUCUGUCCCCCUGCGCCCUAUUUCUAGGGGUUGAUUCUCAGAGAGCUGUCUCUUAGAUGGAGAGGAGGUGGCCGCCAACUGGAUCCAAAGUCUUCCUGCGGCCCUACUCCAGGCAGGAGAGCUGGGUGGAAGGGCCCUGGGCUGUCAGUGGCAGGGGUCUCGAUGGGAUUCUGACCCGCCCUAGGUGUGCUGCCAGAGGUAUGGGACAGUGGCAAGAAUACUUGGUUCCAAUUCCAGCUCUACUUCCUAGCUAUGUGGCCUCAGAUAAUUUACCUGAUGUCUCUGAGCCUCAGUUCUCAUGUCUCUGAAAUGGGAGAUAAUCCUCGCGCUCAUUCUCAUGGGAUUUUUGAGAUUGCCUAAUGUAAAGCCUUUGACUGUGUGGAUCCCAACAAACUGGAAAAUUCUUAAAGAGAUGGGAAUACCAGGCCACCUGACCUGCCUCCUGAGAAAUCUGUGUGAAGUUCAA
Long non-coding RNA from Cervus elaphus (red deer), 2092 nucleotides. RefSeq lists it as uncharacterized. NCBI's taxonomy places the organism in Eukaryota, Metazoa, Chordata, Mammalia, Artiodactyla, Cervidae. The transcript is spliced from 6 exons. The record is from RefSeq and is a predicted model, not a curated record.